RNAcentral lists this ribosomal RNA (406 nucleotides) under uncultured bacterium. Its description in RNAcentral is "partial 16S ribosomal RNA". It matches the Rfam family "Bacterial small subunit ribosomal RNA", at positions 30 to 526 of the family's 1533-position model. The record is from RNAcentral.
AUUGAACGCUGGCGGCAGGCUUAACACAUGCAAGUCGAACGAGAGGCGGACGGGUGAGUAAUGGCUGGGCAACUGCCUGACGGAGGGGGAUAACUACUGGAAACGGUAGCUAAUACCGCAUACCAUCAGAUGUGGCCAGACGGGAUUAGCUAGUUGGUGGGGUAAUGGCUCAGCAAGGCGACGAUCCCUAGCUGGUCUGAGAGGAUGACCGGCCACACUGGAACUGAGACACGGUCCAGACUCCGACGGGAGGCAGCAGUGGGGAAUAUUGCACAAUGGGCGCAAGUCUGAUACAGCCAUGCCGCGUGUGUGAAGAAGGCCUUCGGGUUGUAAAGCACUUUCAGCGGGGAGGCGUUACUCGCACAAGAAGCACCGGCUAACUCCGUGCCAGCAGCCGCGGUAAUUC